This is a long non-coding RNA of Athalia rosae (coleseed sawfly), 1487 nucleotides long. RefSeq lists it as uncharacterized. The transcript is spliced from 3 exons. The record is from RefSeq and is a predicted model, not a curated record. Lineage: Eukaryota; Metazoa; Arthropoda; Insecta; Hymenoptera; Athaliidae.
GUUACGAUCGCACGACUCUGGCACAAGUUGGGACUACACUACGCCAUAACCGCGAGGACUUGGGCGAGUAAGAGGAUAAUCAGUGCAGGACGUGCAGGGACCGGGACCGGCACACCGCCACCGAGACAAGUUCGCCGGUGAAAGCUAAGCCUUCGGAAAGUCGGCCAUUUUUGUCUCUCUCUCUCUUUUUUCUCUCGCUCUUUAUUUAUUUACUUAUUUAUUUAUUUUUAUUUUCUUUUUGCAGAACGAGAGCACGAGCCGCUCGAGGAGGAGUCCUCGGUGGCCGGUCGAUCGGCCGAUCGAUCGAAGAAUCGGUCGGUCGGGGUAAAAGUUUCGGUACCUCCGUUCGCCUCUACACGGUAUCACGGAUAGCUCAACGAGAUCUACGAGUGCAGAGCUAGAGGUGUGGCAGCGGAGCGUGCGCGCCUAGCAACAUGAUCGUCGGAUCGUCGGAUCGUCAGACUCCGAGAGUGAACCAGGCGGCAAAAGGAAGCGAACCAGAUGGGGAGGAUGACGUUACGAGACACGAGAAAAAUUUAUGAUAAUAAAUUUCGCAGUACCGAAGUGUCUGUAAAAUCCGUUUACCAUGACGUAAUCGCGCAUGUUCGAUGCAUAAACGUGCCUCGUCUACGUGUACGUACGUAAUUUUAGAAGAAAAAAAAAAACAUAAUUCUACCAGCCACCCAAAGUCGUUUUAUUCGUUCGGAUCAUUUCGCGUGUCUUCUCAUCGUGUCGCCUAAAAUUCCAUCCGACGUUAGUUCUGGUUCGGACUUUUUAAUUUCUCUUUUUGCCACCGUCAUUUUUACCCCGAAUUUUUAAGGCGGCCAAUUAGCUAAUUGAACGUAAAUUGUUUUAAGCUAAAACCUGCGGGACAGGUAGACGACGCGUACGUGUCGCACGAUGCACGUGAGACUAACAAGUAGAAGGAUAUAACGUAAUGUUAACGCGCGUCAUGUUCUCUCUCGUCAACUGGGUUAAAUUACAUCGAAAUACAUCGCAUGACACGAGUAGCUGUCACGUCCGCAGCUAAACUUGUACGCUUCUCGUAUAGUUUAAUAUAAUUGUGCGACUAUACAUGAAAUAUGUACAACGAGGAUAACCGUAGAGCGUUGUGAACAACAACAAAAAAAAACAAAAAAACCAGAAAGGAUUUUUAAGAAAAAUGCGACAACGGAUUCGGAAUUUUUCCUACCGGCGAACGCAUGCGCGACGAAGAAUGGAAUAACGUGCUAAGAGUACGAGAUGGCCACGGAUAACGAUUAGAAUAAAAAUUAGGAUAACAACAAUAACGCAAUUCAACGGGUUAACGUUCGUUCGCGAGGCGAAGUUAUGGAUGCGUGGAUAAAUUAUUCGAUUCGUACGGGUGGUACAGAGCCUAUCGGGCGCUAGCUUGUGCACCGAUGGAAUUUAAUGUGCGAAACGACGCGCGGGAUAUGAGAGAAAGAAUAAUAAGAAAAAAAUAAUAAUAAUAAUAACAAUAAAUAAUC